ACUUACAUGCACACUUUCUCAAAAUAAAAAAACAUUUAAAAAGAAAUAAGAUACCUUCCAUCUUAUUCAGUCAUUGUUAUUUGGUCUCUAGUAAAGUUUGGUUACCAAACUGGUAUCCUAACUAAGACUUACUAUGCCCAGUAUCCUGUUACUGCUUAACAUAGAACUAGAAAUUCUGAUUUAGACUAUAAGGAAAGAAAAAGAGAAUAUCAGUAUUGGGAAGAGAAAUAAAACUCAUUUUUACUUUAUCUUAUUUAUAUUUAUAAGGUUAUCUCUACAUCCAAAACGAGGCUUGAACUCAUGACCCUGAGAUCGAGAGUUGGAUGCUUCACCAACUGAGCCAGCUAGGGCAUCCCUGAAACUCAUUAUUUUUAAGUCGUAUUUUCAGAGGUUCAAGUGCAUGUGUGUAUUACAAAAAACACUAGAGCAGCAGCCAGUUAGAUAAUGUAAUUAAAAGGAAAAGAUACUAUUCACAGUAGCAGUGAAAGCUGUAAAGUAUUUAGUAAUUAAGUAAUAUGCAAAUAUCCUGUGUUUGUUUUAGUAGGUGGUGUUGGUAAACUGGCUUUUUACAUGGAGAAAAACAGGAUACCUAACUCGGAUCAUGUCCAAAGAUGGUCUCUCAAUGGACUAAAGGUCUUAAAUGUGAAAGUGGGAAGAGUAGGGGAUGAAAAAUUGAUCAUCUCGGAGAUAAAAGCAUAUCCUUCAGUGAGCUGUGGCUGAGCCUGACCUGCAGCCCUGAGGAAACCUGUAUCCCUGGCCUGAAGCGAUUCAAGCUUUUGCUUCUGUGAUUACCUCCAACCUUCAGGAUGGGACAGCUGCCGCUCCUCUUCAACGUUGCACUAGAUACGCACUUCCAGACCAGUGGUGCUCACAGUGUGCCCCGGAUCUGCAGCGUAGUGUCUCCUGGGAACUUAGUAGAAAGGUACAUCCUCCUGUGCCAGACCUCCAUCAGAAAGUCCACAGUCGAUCCCCCACAGUCUGGCAUCAGGCCUCCCAGGCUUUUGAUCCAGCCCACAGACUUCUGCGAGGCCCGAGUUCUAAUUCUGUCAUUUAUUGUAUGUGGACCGAGUUAUUUCUUGCUGUGCCUCAGUUUCUGUAUCUGUGAAAACAGAGCCAAUUCUCAUGCCCAGGGGGGUUUUAUGCGCAGGGCCUUGGGUAGAGUAUGAGCUCCAUUGUCCUCUCCCCUCCCCUUCCUGGGAGAGAGACUGUACACCAGCCCUCCUCCUACCCUAUGUGCUGUGCAAGCUGCUCCAUGAACACUGCACUGUGUUCUGGGGCAUGAGGCCACCUCUAUUGCUUUGAAAAUCCAAAAGGGAAGCACAGGGGCCCAGAAAUCUAAAGUCCACACCCUGGGUGUUAGGACACUCUGAAUUCCCUGCUUGGUUCAGAGGGUGGGGUGAAGGUGGAGGAAUGAAUCAUUUUUGUGUUAACAGAAGGUUGGAGAAGAGGACAGAAAACCCCCUCCCUGAAAGCCAGUGGGGAGCAGCUGACCAGCAGAGGCCGGGAGCCUGCACCAGUGGCCAGGCAGCAGCUGAGGCAGAAUCUCAGCACCAUCAGCCACACACACUGAUGCCAAGGCCCACAACUUCCUUACUGGAGGCUAUCGCAUCCCAGGGAUGCAUGGUGGCUGGACCCAUGGUACAGGUCAGCAGUGUAGCACAAAGCAGCACACCCAGCAGGCACACAUACAAUUAAAUAGCAUGUUUAAUCAUCUCACAACAGACAGUAGUGCAGUAGUGUAAACUAAGUUUCUUUUCAAAAAGUCACUCCCCCAAAGCUCCCAUUCCCCAACACCCAGGAUGACCAUGGCUGAGGAACCAGUGACAGGGCCAGAGGGAUUCAGGAAGUCUCUGCUCCAAGGAGCUAAAAGUCUGUCCAGGUAGCCUCACAAGUAGCCAAGAGCCCUAUGAGGAGUUGAUGUGUGCACAUUCUGACACACACACACACACACAUACAUACAUGCAAGGGACACACAAGACAGACACAGAAGAGACCGCCAUGGGGCAGUCGCACACAUGCGCUCAUGCCAUCACAUUCCAGUCAGCGUCUGACUGUCUCCUGCGGGCAGGGCAUGGGGGCCUGAGCCCUGAAGCAGCAGGUCAGGAUGAAGGAAAGGGUCUGUGGCCAGCCCAGCUGUCUGACAGAUGGCCCUGCAGCCAGAGGGGCCCCUCCAUUCCGGAAACAGCCAGUCCUCCCCUAAUCUCAGGCUGGACACGGGCAUCAGUGGUGAGGACAGGGGGUUCCACUUUCUCUGGACCUAGCGAAAAGAUAACGGCUGUGUCCCAAAGAAGAGAACAAAGAAUGUGCCCACAGGCAGGCUCUCGGAGCAGGAGGCUGGUGGUGCUUGUUCUACAGCCAGGACUUGCUGUGCGGGUGCCGUGGGAGCAGCAACACUGCCAACAGGGAACUGGAGAGGCAGCUGGGAGCUGGCUGGACGGCCCUUGGAGCAGAGGAGGGGUUUGCGAAAAGGAGGCCCUGAGGUGAGGACAUUUGGGCGGGGGGGGGGGGGGGGGGGGGGUGGUGGCUACCAGAAGGGUUUUAAAGAGGAAACC
Prionailurus viverrinus (fishing cat) is the source of this 2552-nucleotide long non-coding RNA. RefSeq lists it as uncharacterized. The transcript has 3 exons. Lineage: Eukaryota; Metazoa; Chordata; Mammalia; Carnivora; Felidae. The record is from RefSeq and is a predicted model, not a curated record.